AACCUAGCACACCUGCGGUGUGUACCUGCGGAGGGAUCAUUACACAAUAAACAUAUGAAGGCUGCACCGCCAACAGGCGGCAAGGCUGGAGUAUUUUAUUACCCUUGUCUUUUGCGCACUUGUUGUUUCCUGGGCGGGUUCGCCCGCCUCCAGGACCACAUGAUAAACCUUUUUUAUGCAGUUGCAAUCAGCGUCAGUACAACAAAUGUAAAUCAUUUACAACUUUUAACAAUGGAUCUC
This 240-nucleotide unclassified non-coding RNA is filed under the name soil metagenome. Its description in RNAcentral is "partial contains 5.8S ribosomal RNA, internal transcribed spacer 2, and large subunit ribosomal RNA". The record is from RNAcentral.